This 529-nucleotide ribosomal RNA is filed under the name Salmonella enterica subsp. enterica. RNAcentral describes it as "bacterial SSU rRNA". It matches the Rfam family "Bacterial small subunit ribosomal RNA", at positions 574 to 1102 of the family's 1533-position model. The record is from RNAcentral. Lineage: Bacteria; Pseudomonadati; Pseudomonadota; Gammaproteobacteria; Enterobacterales; Enterobacteriaceae.
GGCGGUCUGUCAAGUCGGAUGUGAAAUCCCCGGGCUCAACCUGGGAACUGCAUUCGAAACUGGCAGGCUUGAGUCUUGUAGAGGGGGGUAGAAUUCCAGGUGUAGCGGUGAAAUGCGUAGAGAUCUGGAGGAAUACCGGUGGCGAAGGCGGCCCCCUGGACAAAGACUGACGCUCAGGUGCGAAAGCGUGGGGAGCAAACAGGAUUAGAUACCCUGGUAGUCCACGCCGUAAACGAUGUCUACUUGGAGGUUGUGCCCUUGAGGCGUGGCUUCCGGAGCUAACGCGUUAAGUAGACCGCCUGGGGAGUACGGCCGCAAGGUUAAAACUCAAAUGAAUUGACGGGGGCCCGCACAAGCGGUGGAGCAUGUGGUUUAAUUCGAUGCAACGCGAAGAACCUUACCUGGUCUUGACAUCCACAGAAGAAUCCAGAGAUGGAUUUGUGCCUUCGGGAACUGUGAGACAGGUGCUGCAUGGCUGUCGUCAGCUCGUGUUGUGAAAUGUUGGGUUAAGUCCCGCAACGAGCGCAAC